UNAAAAAGAUAGGAGUUGAACCUAUGUCUAAGGGAUCAAACCGCC
Molecule: transfer RNA, 45 nt
Filed under: Polypedates leucomystax (Java whipping frog)
Lineage: Eukaryota; Metazoa; Chordata; Amphibia; Anura; Rhacophoridae
Description: partial tRNA-Gln
Source: RNAcentral